UACGGAGGAUGCGAGCGUUAUCCGGAUUUAUUGGGUUUAAAGGGUGCGUAGGCGGAUUUUUAAGUCAGCGGUAAAAUGUCCGGGCUCAACCCGGGCCGGCCGUUGAAACUGGCGUUCUUGAGUGGGCGAGAAGUAUGCGGAAUGCGUGGUGUAGCGGUGAAAUGCAUAGAUAUCACGCAGAACUCCGAUUGCGGAGGCAGCAUACCGGCGCCCUACUGACGCUGAGGCACGAAAGCGUGGGUAUCGAACAGG
This 252-nucleotide ribosomal RNA is filed under the name uncultured bacterium. RNAcentral describes it as "partial 16S ribosomal RNA". It matches the Rfam family "Bacterial small subunit ribosomal RNA", at positions 524 to 776 of the family's 1533-position model. The record is from RNAcentral.